UAGUCUGAAUGGUUAAAAUGAUUGUUUUCAUGUGCAGCUCCAUCUCAACCUUACACAGACAGACGUAGACAUGCAGCGUAUAAAUCGAUUUUCAAUAAAACGUUUUGCACCAAAGAGUUGAGAAUAAACACUGAGGCUCUUUACUGUAUUUGAAAUGUUAAAUUGACAUUUGUGACUGUAUACGAUACAGACCAGCAAAUAUUGCAGUAAGCAUAUUGCGAGGGAACACGAAACAAAUCUCCCCCUCCCUCAUGUCCCCUAGGGGCCGUGGGGGGACACACGGUACACUUUUCUUGAAACACUAAAACUCUCAACACUUGUAGUUAAAGCAGAAGCCGCAUUGCCAUUAACCAUAAAAUUUUGCAAACUGAAAUGACAAAAUUAAUGUGCUUAAUUUAGAUUAUUCUGUGCUGUCAGUUUAAAACCUGGGUUGUUUGUCAGUUCUUUGUUUUUUUUGUGUAUGUCUUGUUUUUUGUGAUUUAUAUUUAUUAGACCCGAAUAAUAGUCAAUGAAAGUUUCACUAAACAGAUUUAUUACAUUAUUUAUUCAAAUAAAAAAAAAUAUUGUCCAAAAUAUACCUUCUCUUUUAUUAUAACAAUUUUACAGUUGAAGGAAAACUUACUUUUUUUUUUCUUUUUUCGCUCAAUUUGCAUUUCUUUGAACAACGAAGUUUUAUCGUCACAUCUGAUCGACAGAAAGAAAAAAACCAACAUGUUAUCAACGAAUGGGUGGCCGGAAUUGUGCAGAGGAAAAUACAAGGAAAAAGUGAAUUGGGUAACAUUCUGCAACAUAGGCAAUCAAAAAAAAAAAACACAAAAAAAAAACAUUUUUAAUUGAU
Xiphophorus couchianus (Monterrey platyfish) is the source of this 838-nucleotide long non-coding RNA. RefSeq lists it as uncharacterized. The record is from RefSeq and is a predicted model, not a curated record. Lineage: Eukaryota; Metazoa; Chordata; Actinopteri; Cyprinodontiformes; Poeciliidae. The transcript is spliced from 3 exons.